GUUAGAUAAUUACUAGCACAUCAUAUACAUGUUUCCAGGAAAAUGUACACAAUAUGUACGAGGUAUGAGUGAAACCGUUCCAUUCAACAGAUUGCAGUGAUAAAAUUCUGGUGUGAGUGCUAAUGAGACAGUAUCAGAUGAAGAAAAGCAGGAAAACCAUGGUGUCUGCCACCAAGGAACUGACAUGAAGGUGAGGUGACAAAAUACACAGAGUAGAUAAAAACAGAAGUGCUGUAAGACUAAAGG
Molecule: long non-coding RNA, 246 nt
Organism: Neofelis nebulosa (Clouded leopard)
Lineage: Eukaryota; Metazoa; Chordata; Mammalia; Carnivora; Felidae
Exons: 2
Source: RefSeq, a predicted model, not a curated record